AUCCUCCAAGGCUAAAUACUCCUGAUUGACCGAUAGUGAACCAGUACCGUGAGGGAAAGGCGAAAAGAACCCCGGCGAGGGGAGUGAAAAAGAACCUGAAACCGUGUACGUACAAGCAGUAGGAGCCUCUUUAUGGGGUGACUGCGUACCUUUUGUAUAAUGGGUCAGCGACUUAUAUUCUGUAGCAAGGUUAACCGUAUAGGGGAGCCGUAGGGAAACCGAGUCUUAACUGGGCGAAUGAGUUGCAGGGUAUAGACCCGAAACCCGGUGAUCUAUCCAUGGGCAGGUUGAAGGUUGGGUAACACUAACUGGAGGACCGAACCGACUAAUGUUGAAAAAUUAGCGGAUGACUUGUGGAUGGGGGUGAAAGGCCAAUCAAACCGGGAGAUAGCUGGUUCUCCCCGAAAGCUAUUUAGGUAGCGCCUCGUGAACUCAUCUUCGGGGGUAGAGCACUGUUUCGACUAGGGGGUCAUCCCGACUUACCAACUCGAUGCAAACUGCGAAUACCGAAGAAUGUUAUCACGGGAGACACACGGCGGGUGCUAACGUCCGUCGUGAAGAGGGAAACAACCCAGACCGCCAGCUAAGGUCCCAAAGUCAUGGUUAAGUGGGAAACGAAGUGGGAAGGCUCAGACAGCCAGGAUGUUGGCUUAGAAGCAGCCAUCAUUUAAAGAAAGCGUAAUAGCUCACUGGUCGAGUCGGCCCGCGCGGAAGAUGUAACGGGGCUAAACCAUGCACCGAAGCUGCGGCAGCGA
RNAcentral lists this ribosomal RNA (755 nucleotides) under Proteus mirabilis. Its description in RNAcentral is "partial 23S ribosomal RNA". It matches the Rfam family "Bacterial large subunit ribosomal RNA", at positions 455 to 1211 of the family's 2925-position model. Lineage: Bacteria; Pseudomonadati; Pseudomonadota; Gammaproteobacteria; Enterobacterales; Morganellaceae. The record is from RNAcentral.